UAGUUGGAAUCUUCAACAGCCUGGUCUCCUGUAAAAGAAGAUGAGUCUAAGCUAGACUGCAAGAGUGGUCACCAUAUAUAUUGUUAAGGCUCAUCCCAAUGCAGCAGUCAGAUUUUAUCUGAAGGAAGCUUUCCAUGAUCAUUAUUAUCAACUAACAGUCUCGUGUGGUGUCUGAGUUGGGUUUCCCUCUUUGGAAAGCUUAUGUUUCCAGAGCUGCAUUCUUGUGCUAUUGGGUGUCAUUUGAGUAAUCAUUUUGUAAACCUACUGUAGUUGGGUGUGCAUAAGUUAGUAAUUUGCUCAUAAUCUGCUAGAUGGGUGCGUGUCAGCAGGUUUCCAGAAUUUGAGGAAACUUCAUUCUUCACAUGGAAUAUCAAGGUCCCUAAAUCACUCUUUGCAAGCUGUGAUUAUAUUUUCGAUGGCUGAGAAAAGGAGGAAAUUUAAGGAUACUUCAUUGUAUUCUUUUAUUGAGGGGAUAUAGAAUCCCUCCUCCAUGCUCGUGAGGAUCCGUCUCGAAUGAGGAUUUUUUUUUUUU
This 532-nucleotide unclassified non-coding RNA is filed under the name Hevea brasiliensis (rubber tree). The record is from RNAcentral. Lineage: Eukaryota; Viridiplantae; Streptophyta; Magnoliopsida; Malpighiales; Euphorbiaceae.